Molecule: ribosomal RNA, 424 nt
Filed under: uncultured bacterium
Lineage: Bacteria
Description: bacterial SSU rRNA
Rfam family: Bacterial small subunit ribosomal RNA
Source: RNAcentral
CAAGGAAUUUUCGUCAAUGGGGGCAACCCUGAACGAGCAACGCCGCGUGCGGGAUGACGGCCUUCGGGUUGUAAACCGCUUUUGGGGGGGACGAUAGUGACGGUACCCCUUGAAUAAGGCUCGGCUAACUCUGUGCCAGCAGCCGCGGUAAGACAGAGGAGCCAAGCGUUGUCCGGACUGACUGGGCGUAAAGCGCCCGCAGGCGGCCGUGCGCGUGGGGUGUGAAAGCUCGCGGCUUAACUGCGAGAGGCCAUCCCAUACGGCACGGCUCGAGCCGUCCAGAGGCCGGUGGAAUUGCCGGUGUAGUGGUGAAAUGCGUAGAGAUCGGCAGGAACACCCAGGGGGAAACCAGCCGGCUGGGGACGUGCUGACGCUCAGGGGCGAAAGCGUGGGGAGCGAACCGGAUUAGAUACCCGCGUAGUCC